This 301-nucleotide ribosomal RNA is filed under the name uncultured bacterium. RNAcentral's name for it is "partial 16S ribosomal RNA". It matches the Rfam family "Bacterial small subunit ribosomal RNA", at positions 509 to 807 of the family's 1533-position model. The record is from RNAcentral.
CAGUCGCCGCGGUAAUACAGAGGGUGCGAGCGUUAAUCGGAUUUACUGGGCGUAAAGCGUGCGUAGGCGGCUAAUUGAGUCGGAUGUGAAAUCCCCGAGCUUAACUUGGGAAUUGCAUUCGAUACUGGUUAGCUAGAGUGUGGGAGAGGAUGGUAGAAUUCCAGGUGUAGCGGUGAAAUGCGUAGAGAUCUGGAGGAAUACCGAUGGCGAAGGCAGCCAUCUGGCCUAACACUGACGCUGAGGUACGAAAGCAUGGGGAGCAAACAGGAUUAGAUACCCGAGUAGUCCCUGUCUCUUAUAC